RNAcentral lists this ribosomal RNA (371 nucleotides) under uncultured organism. RNAcentral describes it as "bacterial SSU rRNA". It matches the Rfam family "Bacterial small subunit ribosomal RNA", at positions 526 to 896 of the family's 1533-position model. The record is from RNAcentral.
CGUAGGGUGCAAGCGUUGUUCGGAAUCAUUGGGCGUAAAGCGUGUGUAGGUGGCUUGCUAAGUUGAUUGUGAAAUCCCUGGGCUCAACCGAGGAAGUGCAGUCAAACUAGUAGGCUAGAAGAUGGCAGAGGAAGGUGGAAUUCCAAGUGUAGAGGUGAAAUUCGUAGAUAUUUGGAGGAAUACCGGCGGCGAAGGCGGCCUUCUGGACCAUUCUUGACACUGAGACACGAAAGCGUGGGUAGCAAACAGGAUUAGAUACCCUGGUAGUCCACGCCGUAAACGAUGGGUACUAGAUGUUGUAGGAAUUGACCCCUGCAGUGUCGACGCUAACGCAUUAAGUACCCCGCCUGGGAAGUACGGUCGCAAGAUUA